CCCUUAGAUGUCCUGGGCGGCCCGCGCACUACAUUGGCACUCUCAAUAAGUUCCUAGAUCUAAAACUUUGGGGUAUUCUAUUAAGUGGUGUCGUGACUGGGAUUAACCCUUGCAAUUAUUGGUUACGAACGAGGAAUUCCUUGUAAUCGCGGUUUAUCAGCCCGCGUUGAAUGCGUCCCUGCCCUUUGUACACACCGCCCGUCGCUCCUACCGAUGAAUCGUCCGGUGAAGUUCAUGGAGUGGUGGUUGUUCCAGCUGCUGUCGAAGUGAAAUGGACCUCACGAUUUAGAGGAAGGAGAAGUCGUAACA
Molecule: ribosomal RNA, 309 nt
Filed under: uncultured eukaryote
Lineage: Eukaryota
Description: partial 18S ribosomal RNA
Rfam family: Eukaryotic small subunit ribosomal RNA
Source: RNAcentral